RNAcentral lists this ribosomal RNA (465 nucleotides) under Vreelandella stevensii. RNAcentral describes it as "partial 16S ribosomal RNA". It matches the Rfam family "Bacterial small subunit ribosomal RNA", at positions 338 to 795 of the family's 1533-position model. Lineage: Bacteria; Pseudomonadati; Pseudomonadota; Gammaproteobacteria; Oceanospirillales; Halomonadaceae. The record is from RNAcentral.
CCUACGGGUGGCUGCAGUGGGGAAUAUUGGACAAUGGGGGCAACCCUGAUCCAGCCAUGCCGCGUGUGUGAAGAAGGCCCUCGGGUUGUAAAGCACUUUCAGUGAGGAAGAACGCCUGGUGGUUAAUACCCAUCAGGAAAGACAUCACUCACAGAAGAAGCACCGGCUAACUCCGUGCCAGCAGCCGCGGUAAUACGGAGGGUGCGAGCGUUAAUCGGAAUGACUGGGCGUAAAGCGCGCGUAGGUGGCUUGAUAAGCCGGUUGUGAAAGCCCCGGGCUCAACCUGGGAACGGCAUUCGGAACUGUCAAGCUAGAGUGCAGGAGAGGAAGGUAGAAUUCCCGGUGUAGCGGUGAAAUGCGUAGAGAUCGGGAGGAAUACCAGUGGCGAAGGCGGCCUUCUGGACUGACACUGACACUGAGGUGCGAAAGCGUGGGUAGCAAACAGGAUUAGAUACCCUGGUAGUC